RNAcentral lists this transfer RNA (75 nucleotides) under Desulforudis audaxviator. Its description in RNAcentral is "Candidatus Desulforudis audaxviator tRNA-Ala". It matches the Rfam family "tRNA". Rfam says of the family: Transfer RNA (tRNA) molecules are approximately 80 nucleotides in length. Their secondary structure includes four short double-helical elements and three loops (D, anti-codon, and T loops). Further hydrogen bonds mediate the characteristic L-shaped molecular structure. tRNAs have two regions of fundamental functional importance: the anti-codon, which is responsible for specific mRNA codon recognition, and the 3' end, to which the tRNAs corresponding amino acid is attached (by aminoacyl-tRNA synthetases). tRNAs cope with the degeneracy of the genetic code in two manners: having more than one tRNA (with a specific anti-codon) for a particular amino acid; and 'wobble' base-pairing, i.e. permitting non-standard base-pairing at the 3rd anti-codon position. RNAcentral also lists the same sequence under 6 other names. The record is from RNAcentral. Lineage: Bacteria; Bacillati; Bacillota; Clostridia; Thermoanaerobacterales; Desulforudaceae.
GGGGCUGUGGCGCAGUGGGAGCGCGCUACCUUGGCAUGGUAGAGGCCGCGGGUUCAAUCCCCGCCAGCUCCACCA